GUGGGGAAUAUUGGACAAUGGGCGAAAGCCUGAUCCAGCAAUGCCGCGUGAGUGAAGAAGGCCUUCGGGUUGUAAAGCUCUUUUACCCGGGAAGAUAAUGACUGUACCGGGAGAAUAAGCCCCGGCUAACUCCGUGCCAGCAGCCGCGGUAAUACGGAGGGGGCUAGCGUUGUUCGGAAUUACUGGGCCUAAAGCGCACGUAGGCGGUCUUUUAAGUCAGAGGUGAAAGCCCGGGGCUCAACUCCGGAAUUGCCUUUGAAACUGGAAGACUUGAACACGGGAGAGGUGAGUGGAAUUCCGAGUGUAGAGGUGAAAUUCGUAGAUAUUCGGAGGAACACCAGUGGCGAAGGCGGCUCACUGGACCGUUGUUGACGCUGAGGUGCGAAAGCGUGGGGAGCAAACAGGAUUAGAAACCCGGGUAGUCC
Molecule: ribosomal RNA, 425 nt
Filed under: uncultured bacterium
Lineage: Bacteria
Description: partial 16S ribosomal RNA
Rfam family: Bacterial small subunit ribosomal RNA
Source: RNAcentral